AUGGAGAUUUUAUUGGGCCAGAUGGGUCAACUAACGACAUUAUUGUUGGUGAUGUCCCCCAUGCCCUCCGAGGUGUUUAACAUACUUGCAGACAUGCCUCGCCUUGUUGAUAUUUCUCUCGGCGAGUUUGGUGUGCUCGAUAAGUUGCCUGCUGAGCUCCCACGGGGUGUCAAGCGUCUUCGUCUCUGUGCCUAUGUCAUUAAACAAGACCCGAUGCAGAUCCUGGAGAAGCUUCAUUAUCUUGUGGUGCUAGAGUUGUCGGGGUACGAAGGUCAAACGAUGUUCUGCUCUGCCCAAGGGUUUCCUCGGCUGCAAGAGUUAAAACUUGUUGGUUUCUCAACUGAUGAUUGGAGGAUCGAGGUAGGAGCAAUGCCAAAGCUUUCCGACCUGACGCUUCGGGAAUGCGAUAAGAUGAGCGAGCUCCCCGAGGGGUUUCUACACCUUCCGUCCCUCAAUCACCUGAUGUUGUACAAAAUGCCCCAGAUUCCCAAAGAUGACAACACACUGAAGGAGCUCGAACGGAAAGGAUGUCAGUUUUAUUCUUUG
Molecule: ribosomal RNA, 546 nt
Filed under: Triticum aestivum (bread wheat)
Lineage: Eukaryota; Viridiplantae; Streptophyta; Magnoliopsida; Poales; Poaceae
Description: partial small subunit ribosomal RNA
Source: RNAcentral